Long non-coding RNA from Sus scrofa (pig), 543 nucleotides. RefSeq lists it as uncharacterized. The record is from RefSeq and is a predicted model, not a curated record. NCBI's taxonomy places the organism in Eukaryota, Metazoa, Chordata, Mammalia, Artiodactyla, Suidae.
UGCAUGCUGUCCCCUAGGGAGGACCUGCCCUGGCCAGUCUGACAUAAAAGGGCAGCUCUAGUCUGGCUUGGACUGAUCAGGGCUCCUCCGUUCACAGCUGACCAUGAGGUUCCCUGCUCAGCUCCUGGGGCUCCUCCUGCUCUGGGUCCCAGCCCCUCAACAUCUCUGAGGCCACAUGCUUUUCAACGGGGGAAGACCUGAUCUACCCAGAAAGGCCAGGUCAAGACUAUGGGCUCCCAGCCUCACCUUCUCUGCUUCCUGCUCCUCUGGAUCUCUGCCAGUACCAGUGCAGAAACAACAGUCACUCAAUCUCCAGCAUUUGUGUCAGCGACCCCAGGAGACAAAGUUAACAUCACCCGCAAAGCCAGCCAAGACAUUGAUGAUGAUAUCAUGUGCUAUCAACAGAAGCCAGGAGAAGCCCCUAAGCUCCUUAUUAAAUAUGCUUCCAUUCACAUCACUGGGGUUCCAACCCGGUUCAGUGGCAGUGGUUUCUUCUGCCUCCAUCGACAGAUGAUUGGAUUAGGAAGAUGUGGUAUAUAUACA